AGCAUAGUGGCGCAGUGGAAGCAUGCUGGGCUGGUGUCCCAGAGGUCCGUGGAUCGAAACCACGCUCUGCUG
This 72-nucleotide transfer RNA is filed under the name Tropilaelaps mercedesae. It matches the Rfam family "tRNA". From Rfam's summary of the family: Transfer RNA (tRNA) molecules are approximately 80 nucleotides in length. Their secondary structure includes four short double-helical elements and three loops (D, anti-codon, and T loops). The record is from Rfam by way of RNAcentral. Lineage: Eukaryota; Metazoa; Arthropoda; Arachnida; Mesostigmata; Laelapidae.